This is a non-coding RNA of Gorilla gorilla gorilla (western lowland gorilla), 148 nucleotides long. It matches the Rfam family "Metazoan signal recognition particle RNA". Rfam says of the family: The signal recognition particle (SRP) is a universally conserved ribonucleoprotein. It is involved in the co-translational targeting of proteins to membranes. The record is from Rfam. Lineage: Eukaryota; Metazoa; Chordata; Mammalia; Primates; Hominidae.
GCCGGGCAUGGUGGUGGGUGCCUGUAAUCCCAGCUACUUGGGAGGCUGAGACAGAAGAAUUGCUUGAACCCAGGAGGCAGAGGUUACAGUGAGCCUAGAUUGUGCCACUGCUCUCCAGCCUGGGUGACAAAGCAACACUCAGUCUCAA